Molecule: long non-coding RNA, 455 nt
Organism: Paramisgurnus dabryanus
Lineage: Eukaryota; Metazoa; Chordata; Actinopteri; Cypriniformes; Cobitidae
Source: RefSeq, a predicted model, not a curated record
CACGUAUUUGCGGGGGCGCGCCUCCGUCAUCCUGAGUUCAAAGUGGAUUUUAACCGUUUACCUCCGACGACAGUUUUCAUUUCUAUGGCAAAUUCUAAGGUCAUUUUCUUGUUGUGUUUUGAUGUUUUCCAUUGGCUGAAGACUAAGAUGAGCCUGAAGAGGAGAUUUGGGAAGUCUUUGCUUUGCCAGAUCACCUGUGGUCGGGAUGUCUGCUAACAAGAUGCCUUGUUGGUCUGGGCGAGUUUGAAGUCUCUCACAGACAGUCCAGAAGGUCUGGAGUCCAUCUUAGCUUUUAUUGAUGCUGUCAUCAGAUUUUAAGUACAGUAUGAGCCAGAAUGGAAGGGUGUUGGUGGCCAUAAGAAGACUGUGAGCUAAACCUACAACAAAAUUCUUAUUUGCAGUUUUCCUAGAAUAUUUUUUUCUAUUCAGAUGAAUAAAAUUACUUUAAAAUAUUA